Molecule: ribosomal RNA, 497 nt
Filed under: uncultured bacterium
Lineage: Bacteria
Description: partial 16S ribosomal RNA
Rfam family: Bacterial small subunit ribosomal RNA
Source: RNAcentral
GAUGAACGCUGGCGGCGUGCCUAAUACAUGCAAGUCGAGCGAACAGACGAGGAGCUUGCUCCUCUGACGUUAGCGGCGGACGGGUGAGUAACACGUGGAUAACCUACCUAUAAGACUGGGAUAAAUUCGGGAAACCGGAGCUAAUACCGGAUAAUAUAUUGAACCGCAUGGUUCAAUAGUGAAAGAUGGUUUUGCUGUCACUUAUAGAUGGAUCCGCGCCGCAUUAGCUAGUUGGUAAGGUAACGGCUUACCAAGGCAACGAUGCGUAGCCGACCUGAGAGGGUGAUCGGCCACACUGGAACUGAGACACGGUCCAGACUCCUACGGGAGGCAGCAGUAGGGAAUCUUCCGCAAUGGGCGAAAGCUUGACGGAGCAACGCCGCGUGAGUGAUGAAGGUCUUCGGAUCGUAAAACUCUGUUAUUAGGGAAGAACAAAUGUGUAAGUAACUAUGCACGUCUUGACGGUACCUAAUCAGAAAGCCACGGCUAACUACGUG